UGAGUUACCAUAAUUUUGAUUUCUGUACCCGAUUUGUAGGCUGUCAUUUUUACUCGUGGUUCGUUCUCGUUCACGAUCUGCAAGAUAGCGGGACAUUUCGAGUCUAAUUCCUUUUUUUCCGGAUAUGGAGCCGUCACAGAUAAUUAGAUUAGGGUCAGACCGGGACUCUUGUAUGUUAUAUUUAUAUACAACUUAUUAUAAGGAUGUUAAAUCACUUCCGUCUAUAAAAGACGUGUCCCGAUACAUCUUAAUCGUUAGAUCUAUCGUAUCUUUAUAGAUCGACUUGAAUAGACCGACUGUAUUUUUAUAGAUCAUCUUGAAUAAAUCAUGUGGGCCAUAUCCAGCAAUCUUUGGGAAAUAAGU
RNAcentral lists this long non-coding RNA (363 nucleotides) under Ananas comosus (pineapple). RNAcentral's name for it is "long non-coding RNA (ACOM_LNC025293)". Lineage: Eukaryota; Viridiplantae; Streptophyta; Magnoliopsida; Poales; Bromeliaceae. The record is from RNAcentral.